This 328-nucleotide unclassified non-coding RNA is filed under the name soil metagenome. Its description in RNAcentral is "partial contains 5.8S ribosomal RNA, internal transcribed spacer 2, and large subunit ribosomal RNA". The stretch from base 1 to 120 matches the Rfam family "5.8S ribosomal RNA", at positions 35 to 154 of the family's 154-position model. The record is from RNAcentral.
GAUGAAGAACGCAGCGAAAUGCGAUAAGUAAUGUGAAUUGCAGAAUUCAGUGAAUCAUCGAAUCUUUGAACGCACAUUGCGCCCCCUGGUAUUCCGGGGGGCAUGCCUGUCCGAGCGUCAUUACAACCCUCAAGCUCAGCUUGGUGUUGGGCCCCGCCGCCCCGGCGGGCCCUAAAGUCAGUGGCGGUGCCGUCCGGCUCCGAGCGUAGUAAUUCUUCUCGCUCUGGAGGUCCGGUCGUGUGCUCGCCAGCAACCCCCAAUUUUUUUCAGGUUGACCUCGGAUCAGGUAGGGAUACCCGCUGAACUUAAGCAUAUAAUAAGCGGAGGA